AGAUGGGUCUCCGACGAUUUCACCCGUGGUUCCAAGUAUUUCAACCACAUCUCUUCCUGGAUAUACAAUGCCCGUUUUGUCUACAGAGUGUGAACCGGGAUAUUUAGGAAACAAAUGCGAAUCUCCAUGCAGAUAUCCGAGUUACGGCAUCGAUUGUCAGAUGAAAUGUGAAUGUAGUGGCCCUGAGAAAUGUGAUCAUGUUAAAGGAUGUGUAGAUUUACGUCCAUUUUGUAGUACCACAAAACAUCCAGGAAAUGUAGACGCAAUACUGUACAGUACCAUUGUCCUCAGCAGUAUAGCUGUCUUACAUUUUAAUGUUUGUAUUUAUCUCUCUUAUUGCUAUAAAACCUAA
This is a long non-coding RNA of Saccostrea cuccullata (small rock oyster), 352 nucleotides long. RefSeq lists it as uncharacterized. The transcript is spliced from 3 exons. Lineage: Eukaryota; Metazoa; Mollusca; Bivalvia; Ostreida; Ostreidae. The record is from RefSeq and is a predicted model, not a curated record.